CAAUAGCGUAUAUUAAAGUUGUUGCAGUUAAAAGCUCGUAGUUGAAUUUUGGGACAAGCUAGAUGGUGCACCUAACGGUGUUUACUAUUUAGCAUGUCCUUCCUUUCUGGGGAUCCAUUCUGCACUUUAUUGUGUGGUGUGGGGAUCCAGGACUUUUACUUUGAAAAAUUAGAGUGUUCAAAGCAGGCUUACGCUUGAAUACAUUAGCAUGGAAUAAUAGAAUAGGACUUUGGUUUUAUUUUGUUGGUUUCUAGAACUGAAGUAAUGAUUAAUAGGGACAGUUGGGGUGGUAUGUAUUUACUUGUCAGAGGUGAAAUUCUUGGAUUUAGUAAAGACAAACUUCUGCGAAAGCAUUCCACAAGGAUGUUUUCAUUAAUCAAGAACGAAAGUUAGGGGAUCGAAGAUGAUUAGAUACCA
This 417-nucleotide ribosomal RNA is filed under the name uncultured eukaryote. Its description in RNAcentral is "bacterial SSU rRNA". It matches the Rfam family "Eukaryotic small subunit ribosomal RNA", at positions 592 to 1017 of the family's 1831-position model. The record is from RNAcentral.